AACAAGUAUUAAAGGCAACGCCUGCCCAGUGAACAAUUAAACGGCCGCGGUACCCUAACCGUGCAAAGGUAGCAUAAUCAUUUGUCUAUUAACUGUAGACCUGUAUGAAAGGCAAAAUGAGGGUUUAACUGUCUCUUAUAAUAAAUCUAUUAAACUGAUCUCCCAGUAAAAAAGCUGGAAUACCACCAUAAGACCAGAAGACCCUGUGAAGCUUUAACUAAACUAUUAAACCCAAUAAUAGCUACUUUAGGUUGGGGCGACCUUGGAAAUAAAAAGAACUUCCAAACAAACACACUAACACAGGCUGACAUGCCAAUAAAUGACCCAGUAAAACUGAUAACUGAACAAAGUUACUCCAGGGAUAACAGCGCUAUCUUCUUCAAGAGCCCAUAUCAAAAAGAAGGUUUACGACCUCGAUGUUGGAUCAGGACAUCCUAAUGGUGCAACCGCUAUUAAGGGUUCGUUUGUUCAACGAUUAAUGUCCU
Molecule: ribosomal RNA, 485 nt
Filed under: Tropidonophis aenigmaticus
Lineage: Eukaryota; Metazoa; Chordata; Lepidosauria; Squamata; Natricidae
Description: partial large subunit ribosomal RNA
Rfam family: Bacterial large subunit ribosomal RNA
Source: RNAcentral